This 297-nucleotide unclassified non-coding RNA is filed under the name Hevea brasiliensis (rubber tree). The record is from RNAcentral. Lineage: Eukaryota; Viridiplantae; Streptophyta; Magnoliopsida; Malpighiales; Euphorbiaceae.
CGCUCAAGCCCACCAGAGAGGUAGCCGAUGGGUGGCAAAUCACCCGAAACAUGCGGACCAGCCGUAGCGAUGAUGAUCUGAUCGGCGUCGGUAUUGAUGAUCAGGUUCGCGUUAUGCGUCAUCAUGAUGACCUAGUCUUGGCAUUGAUAACAAGCCGGCUCUCAAGCGCGCCAAGGUAGCCUCCCAAACGUCGACCCCCUCGAAUUGGUCGUUCAGGAUCGUUCCCGGCGCCAGAGGCGUCAAUUUCGCCAAGUCUGUUUGAAUUCCUGAUCGAACCACAUCUCGAGAUCAUACCGC